This 435-nucleotide ribosomal RNA is filed under the name Terebellides sp. ZMBN 116478. Its description in RNAcentral is "partial 16S ribosomal RNA". It matches the Rfam family "Bacterial large subunit ribosomal RNA", at positions 1956 to 2597 of the family's 2925-position model. The record is from RNAcentral. Lineage: Eukaryota; Metazoa; Annelida; Polychaeta; Terebellida; Trichobranchidae.
GCAUAAUAAAUCGCCCUUUAAUUGUGGGCUAGUAUGAACGGAUAAACGAAGGCUUAGCUGUCUCAACUAUAUAAGUAAAAAUUGGCCUUUAGGUGAAAAGACCUAAAUAAAAUUAGAGGACAAAAAGACCCCGUAGAGCUUAAUAUUUUUAAAGAACCGAAAUUUAAUAUUUUACCUAAAAACAUUCUAUUAAAAAAUAAUUGGCUGGGGCGGCUAUGGAGCAAAAAACCUCCACAAAUACCAAAAGAAAAGCAAAUCUAACUUAUAAACUGAUCCUUAAUAAGAUCAAAGAAAAUAGCUACCUCGGGGAUAACAGAUUAAUCCCUUUUGAGAGUUCACAUUGACAAAGGAUUUUGAUACCUCGAUGUUGGCUUAGGGUCUCCAGAGGGUCAGCAGCAGCCCUCUAAGGUAGGUUUGUUCAACCUUUAAAACCCU